AAAAGGAGCUCCUCAAGGUACUCAAGCGAUAAGGUACCAAUGGCUCACGCAGAAGCUGGAGGAUCUCUACCAGUGCCAAAUGUGCAGGCAAUUGCACAAAAUUACAACAUUUCAGAGGAGCAGAUUCCCGAAAGGUACAUCAGGUUGGAAGAAACUGCCGAGGAGGUCAUCGGUGGUGAUGACAUCUCCUCUGCAAUUCCAAUUAUAGAUCUCAACAAGUUGCUGGAUCCGCAGUCAUCCAGAAAGGAGCGUGCCAAGCUUGGAUCUGCCUGUAGGCAGUGGGGUUUCUUUCAGCUCGUCAACCAUGGUGUAUCAGAGAUGAGGUGAUUUGCAACUUCAGGAAUGACAUGACUGAAUUCUUCAAGCAGCCACUGGAAGCAAAGAAGGUGUACUCGAUGGAACCGGGCAAUCUUGAAGGGUAUGGCCAGCACUUUGUUGUUUCUGAGAACCAGAAACUGGACUGGGCAGACAUGUUCUACAUCAUGCUCCGUCCAAGCGAUUCUAGGAACCUGAGGUUCUGGCCUAGCAACCCUCCAUCUUUCAGGGACUCCAUAGAAAUGUACUCCUUUGAGGCUGCAAAGCUUGUGUCUUGCUUGCUGCGGUUUGUUGCCAUGGACAUGGGUGUUGAGCCGGAGUCUCUCCUUCAGAGAUUCGGAGGUCAGCCUCAAAGCAUGCGGAUGACCUACUACCCGCCGUGCAAGCAGGCUGAAAAGGCGGUCGGACUGUCGCCGCACACUGAUGCUACCGGCCUGACGCUGCUGCUCCAGGCGAAUGGCGUGCAGGGGCUGCAGAUCCGGAAGGAUGGCAAGUGGGUCGCUAUAAACGCCCUGGAUGGUGCGUUCAUCGUCAAUGUCGGAGACAUACUUGAGAUUCUAAGCAAUGGAAGAUACAAAAGCAUUGAGCACAGGGCCGUGGUGCACCCAACCAUGGAGCGCAUGUCGGCGGCAGUGUUCCACCAGCCGUGCAAGGAUGCUACAGUCGGCCCUCUGCCGGAGCUUGUGAAGAGGGACGGUGAGGCGCUGUAUGGCUUAAUUGGUUACAUGGAUUUUAUCGCACGCUUCUUCGCGGCAAAGCUUGAUGGGAGGGAUCACCUGGAGAGCUUGAAGAGCUGAUGGUUGCCUGUGAAGCAAAUGGAGAUGAAUAAUGCUUGGUGCUUGAUCGUGUACUGAAGUUUCUUUCCUGCGUGAAGUAUUUUUUUUCCGGUGUUUGUUUUUUGCUUCGUGCUAUCUGCUUGCAGUUGCAGUUUGAUUGAUCUAUUUGUAAUUUGUAUCAUAUCCCCCAAACUUAUUCUGGUAUGAGCGUUGCCACGUUGGGUUUUAUCUUGCAUGUAAAAGAUCGUGUCAAUGCCAAUUUCUCUUGGUGGCGUCA
This is an RNA transcript of Panicum virgatum (switchgrass), 1368 nucleotides long. It is a transcript of the gene named 2-oxoglutarate-dependent dioxygenase 11-like, with no coding region annotated. The record is from RefSeq and is a predicted model, not a curated record. The transcript is spliced from 4 exons. Lineage: Eukaryota; Viridiplantae; Streptophyta; Magnoliopsida; Poales; Poaceae.